Non-coding RNA from Acanthosepion pharaonis, 110 nucleotides. The record is from the annotation of a GenBank genome assembly. Lineage: Eukaryota; Metazoa; Mollusca; Cephalopoda; Sepiida; Sepiidae.
GGCCCCAUCAUGUUGAAACACUGGUUCUCGUAUGAUCACCAAAAUUAAGCAACAUUGAGCCUGGUCAGUACCUAGAUGAGUGACUCCUGAGAAAUAUCAAGUGCUGUAAG